UGAAGUCACUCUUCUAGAAACUGGGC
Molecule: non-coding RNA, 26 nt
Filed under: Rattus norvegicus (Norway rat)
Lineage: Eukaryota; Metazoa; Chordata; Mammalia; Rodentia; Muridae
Source: RNAcentral